Molecule: long non-coding RNA, 3231 nt
Organism: Nyctereutes procyonoides (raccoon dog)
Lineage: Eukaryota; Metazoa; Chordata; Mammalia; Carnivora; Canidae
Exons: 2
Source: RefSeq, a predicted model, not a curated record
GAGAGAGAGAGGCAGAGACACAGGCAGAGGGAGAAGCAGGCUCCCUGCAGGGAGCCCGACGUGAGACUCGAUCCCGGGUCUCCAGGAUCAUGCCCUGGGCUGAAGACAGCACUAAACCGCUGAGCCACCGGGGCUGCCCGAUAAUUAUCAUUUUCAAUUCUGUUAGUUCUGUGUUUUCUAAUUUAUUUGUCUUUUAUGGCUUUUGUUUACCAUGUUUUCAACUCAUUCUUUUAUUUUUUGAACUUAUUAAGCUAAUUUUAUGUUAUUUGAUCAAUCAUGUUAAUGUCUGAAGGUUCUGUGGGUCUGAUUCUUUGUCCAUUCCUCUGCUGACUCACAGUGCCUCGUUUCCUGGCCAACUUUGUCAUUUGGGGCUGUGAGUUUAUCUUUUUUGGAACUUUUUUUUUUUUUUUUUUUUUUAUGAUAGCCACACAGAGAGAGAGAGAGAGACGCAGAGACACAGGCAGAGGGAGAAGCAGGCUCCAUGCACUGGGAACCCAACGUGGGAUUCAAUCCCGGUCUCCAGGAUCGUGCCCUGGGCCAAAGGCAGGCGCCAAACCGCUGCGCCACCCAGGGAUCCCUCUUUUUUGGAACUUUACCUCUGGAACUUCUCUGACGUGUCUGAAUUCUUCCAGCAAAAAUUAGUAUCUGCUCCGCCUUGUGACCAGGGGCGCUCCCAGCCUUGGGUCGUUGGAUCAUACAGGACAGCAGAAGCAACACCUGUCUGUCUAAGCGGAGACACUUCUGUAAAAGUCAAAACCAAAGCCCCAGAACCGCAGGCGCCCCGGAGACGUCUGAAUCACCACGCCGGAAGAACAGCGCAGCCCGUCUGCUCAGAGAUACUGCCUGGGAGCUGCGGGUUGGAGGCCGCGGAGGUCCCGGCGCAGGGGAGCCCCAGGGAGCGCGCCUGGCCCUGGACGGUCAGCUGCCUGCUUUCCCGGUGCCGCAGAGACGGUGGUGGUAUUCAGCAGUCAUCGUCCCCGGCGGAGAGCAGCGUUUUCUUGUCAUGAAACGUCUCAUGGGUACAAAAGCACGUGUAGAGUCGCCUGUCCUGGCGGAACCAGUAGAUGCCACCCCGCUGCCCAGCUUAGGAAGGACCCAGAAGUCCCUGUGCCUCCUAGACAACAGCUUCUCUGUGAUCGUCGGGAUCUACGGUCAGACUGUGGGAGUCCCUCCCUGAGAAACACUAAAACGGAACUGACCGGUCCACCCUCUGAGGACCCACAGACUCGGGACCUGUGGCCGGGGGACCCCCCCCCCCCCGGGGAUGGGCCAGGAGCAGCUCCCGCAGCCCCCGAGCAGGCUGGGCUGUUGCAGGGGCGCCUGUGGCCGGUGCGGUGACCAGCAGGAGCCCUGAGCGCUGACCGUGCCCCGAGACUGCCCAGGGACCAGAGUGAAUGAGCCCGACUGGAACUGGGCCCCUGGGCCAGCAGGUCCACACAGCUUGGGGAUCUGGCCCAGGACACGCAGGAACCCGGGACCCCCGAGAGAAGGGGAACAGACAGCAGAAGUCUCCAGAGGGAAGCCCCCUGCCAGGGACAGCAGCCCUCUCCACAGCAGCGGAAAGGCUUGGUCUGGACAAGCGACAAGGGCACCGGGCUGGUGGGCCUUCCCAGGUCCCUUGCUCUGGGGUGGGGGGCGCACCACACCCCGGGUCAGAUGAACGGGCCAGCGACCAGAUCCGCGGGGGCACCCAUAGGUGUUGGGUGGGGACGGUGGAGAAACCCUGACCUUGACUCGGCACGUUCCUCCGCCAGCUCCAGGCUGCCCAGGACCGUAGGGACCGUGUGCGGGGCUCCGCAUAGACCCCGGCUCCAUGGCAUGGAGACCGCGGAGGUGAGUGCAGACGCCGGGCAGUGGGCAGGGGAUGGUGGUCUUCCUCCUGCCUUGGUUUCACUGUCUCCUAUGCCUUGGAUUACCCUAAGUGACCACGAUGAUCCUCAAACUAUUUGCAAAGUGAGCCUUGUGCAUCCAUGAAAUUUGGUCCUGACUUUCAGGGAGCUUGGGUUUGCCAGGAAGAGCAGUGCCGGCUGACCAGGAGGCUCAGGACUGGGGGUGUGGCCCUGCACGGUGGCCGCCAGCCGCCACCUCUGCCCUUGGAAAUCCUGCAGGAGCUCCUGUCAGCACCAGGAAGGUCAAAGGGCAAGGGGCGUCCCUGCCCUCCCUGGUCACCGCACAGUCACUCUCUGCAGCUUGCACUUCAGGAGCUGGGGUGGGGUCCCUUUAAAAUCCAUCAUCAAGUCUCCUCUUUCCAGGAACCUAGGGAGAACCGUGGCUACUGAUAGCAAGUUCAGGCAUCAUCGUGACUUGGGGGAGCCUCCUGCUGCUAAAAAUGGGUCCGUCCCCUCCUCCGGGCCACCCCCGUGCAGUCCUGUAGGGAGGGAAGGGCUUGGAGACCCGCACCCUGUGGUCUGGGCCCUGCAAGCCUCAGCUGCCUGCGCCCAGGCUGCAGUGAGCCCGGAAAGCAGACCCUGUGGGCUAUGCCGCCGCCGGACGCCCGCAGACAGAGCUGGGGACACAGGCAGUCGCUGCCCGUCCUGACUCCCGCCCCAGUUAAUGUGGCCUGUGGCAAAGCCGCAGCCGCAGGAGCCACCAGGCCUGGCCGCAGCCCCCAGCUGGGCAGGCGGUUCACCCACGGCCUGGGCGCCCGCGGGCCACACGCCCCCCAGUCUCAGCACUUCACCCACGCGCUCCACGAAGUGCACAUGCGGGGAAAUCCCCAAAACAAGCCUGAACGUUUGCAUUUGGUCCGGACGGUAACAAACCUAGUCAGUGAAAGUCAUAGUGAGUUCACGUAGCAGUCCUGGCGCCAGACUGUUUCCCCUCCUGGUUCCCGCCUCAGUCUCCUCCUGGGACCCCAAACCACAGCCAGUUCUGAGUCUCCUGCUUGCGGGAGGAAGGGACGCGGGAGUCGCACCCCAGAGCGGCCUCAGAACACCUGCCCGCCUGCUCUGCACAAGGUGAGAAGCUCUAUGCUGGCCCCUUUCGAGGACACUGAAGGAGACUGCUCCCUGCUCUCCAGAGAAGUGUGGUAGGGACAUGGUUUUAAAAACUCACUUUAAGGGGUGUCGGGGGGCUCGGCGGUUUAGCGCCACCUUCAGCCCAGGGCAUGACCCUGGUCCCGGGAUGGAGCCGCACGUCGGGCCCCUGCAGGGAACCUGCUUCUCCCUCUGCCUGUGUCUCCACCUUUCUCUGUGUCUCUCAUGAAUGAACAAAUAAAAUCUUUAAAAGUAA